RNAcentral lists this ribosomal RNA (1539 nucleotides) under Klebsiella pneumoniae subsp. pneumoniae. RNAcentral's name for it is "bacterial SSU rRNA". It matches the Rfam family "Bacterial small subunit ribosomal RNA". Lineage: Bacteria; Pseudomonadati; Pseudomonadota; Gammaproteobacteria; Enterobacterales; Enterobacteriaceae. The record is from RNAcentral.
ACUUAAAUUGAAGAGUUUGAUCAUGGCUCAGAUUGAACGCUGGCGGCAGGCCUAACACAUGCAAGUCGAGCGGUAGCACAGAGAGCUUGCUCUCGGGUGACGAGCGGCGGACGGGUGAGUAAUGUCUGGGAAACUGCCUGAUGGAGGGGGAUAACUACUGGAAACGGUAGCUAAUACCGCAUAAUGUCGCAAGACCAAAGUGGGGGACCUUCGGGCCUCAUGCCAUCAGAUGUGCCCAGAUGGGAUUAGCUAGUAGGUGGGGUAACGGCUCACCUAGGCGACGAUCCCUAGCUGGUCUGAGAGGAUGACCAGCCACACUGGAACUGAGACACGGUCCAGACUCCUACGGGAGGCAGCAGUGGGGAAUAUUGCACAAUGGGCGCAAGCCUGAUGCAGCCAUGCCGCGUGUGUGAAGAAGGCCUUCGGGUUGUAAAGCACUUUCAGCGGGGAGGAAGGCGGUGAGGUUAAUAACCUCAUCGAUUGACGUUACCCGCAGAAGAAGCACCGGCUAACUCCGUGCCAGCAGCCGCGGUAAUACGGAGGGUGCAAGCGUUAAUCGGAAUUACUGGGCGUAAAGCGCACGCAGGCGGUCUGUCAAGUCGGAUGUGAAAUCCCCGGGCUCAACCUGGGAACUGCAUUCGAAACUGGCAGGCUAGAGUCUUGUAGAGGGGGGUAGAAUUCCAGGUGUAGCGGUGAAAUGCGUAGAGAUCUGGAGGAAUACCGGUGGCGAAGGCGGCCCCCUGGACAAAGACUGACGCUCAGGUGCGAAAGCGUGGGGAGCAAACAGGAUUAGAUACCCUGGUAGUCCACGCCGUAAACGAUGUCGAUUUGGAGGUUGUGCCCUUGAGGCGUGGCUUCCGGAGCUAACGCGUUAAAUCGACCGCCUGGGGAGUACGGCCGCAAGGUUAAAACUCAAAUGAAUUGACGGGGGCCCGCACAAGCGGUGGAGCAUGUGGUUUAAUUCGAUGCAACGCGAAGAACCUUACCUGGUCUUGACAUCCACAGAACUGGUGCCUUCGGGAACUGUGAGACAGGUGCUGCAUGGCUGUCGUCAGCUCGUGUUGUGAAAUGUUGGGUUAAGUCCCGCAACGAGCGCAACCCUUAUCCUUUGUUGCCAGCGGUUAGGCCGGGAACUCAAAGGAGACUGCCAGUGAUAAACUGGAGGAAGGUGGGGAUGACGUCAAGUCAUCAUGGCCCUUACGACCAGGGCUACACACGUGCUACAAUGGCAUAUACAAAGAGAAGCGACCUCGCGAGAGCAAGCGGACCUCAUAAAGUAUGUCGUAGUCCGGAUUGGAGUCUGCAACUCGACUCCAUGAAGUCGGAAUCGCUAGUAAUCGUAGAUCAGAAUGCUACGGUGAAUACGUUCCCGGGCCUUGUACACACCGCCCGUCACACCAUGGGAGUGGGUUGCAAAAGAAGUAGGUAGCUUAACCUUCGGGAGGGCGCUUACCACUUUGUGAUUCAUGACUGGGGUGAAGUCGUAACAAGGUAACCGUAGGGGAACCUGCGGUUGGAUCACCUCCUUACCUUAAAGAA